Molecule: ribosomal RNA, 491 nt
Filed under: Didymium spongiosum
Lineage: Eukaryota; Evosea; Eumycetozoa; Physariida; Didymiaceae
Description: SSU rRNA
Rfam family: Eukaryotic small subunit ribosomal RNA
Source: RNAcentral
AAAACUCACCAGGUCCAGAUACACGUAUGAAAGACAAGCUGAAAGACUUUUCUCAAUGAUGUAAGUGGUGGUGCAUGGUCGUUCUUAGUUCGUGGAUUGAUUUGUCUGGUCUAUUCCGAUAACGAGCGAGACCCCGACGUUCCUAAUAGGGGCGGCAGCCAGGCUCGCCCUCGCGGGCUUGCUAGCAGUCGCCUUAAUUAGCUUCUUAGACGUAUCAGAGCCGAUAAGGUUCUUGAAAUGGGUUAAUAACAGGUCAGUCAUGCCCUUAGAUGUUCUGGGCCGCACGCGCGUUACAAUGGUAUACAUAGAAAGUGCCUCAAAGGGCGUCUCCGCGGCCGACAGGUCGCGGUAACCCCUAAUCUCUCCCUUGACUGGGACAGACUAUUGCAAUUAUUGGUCUCCAACGAGGAAUUUUUAGUAGUCGCAGGUCAUUAACCUGCGACGAAUGCGUCCCUGCCCUUUGUACACACCGCCCGUCGCUGCUACCGAUU